AUGAACGCUAGCUACAGGCUUAACACAUGCAAGUCGAGGGGAAACGACAUCGAAAGCUUGCUUUUGAUGGGCGUCGACCGGCGCACGGGUGAGUAACGCGUAUCCAACCUGCCCAUCACUUGGGAAUAACCUUGCGAAAGUAAGACUAAUACCCAAUGACAUCCCACGAAGACAUCUGAAUGGGAUUAAAGAUUUAUCGGUGAUGGAUGGGGAUGCGUCUGAUUAGCUUGUUGGCGGGGUAACGGCCCACCAAGGCAACGAUCAGUAGGGGUUCUGAGAGGAAGGUCCCCCACAUUGGAACUGAGCCACGGUCCAAACGCCUACGGGAGGCAGCAGUGAGGAAUAUUGGUCAAUGGGCGAGAGCCUGAACCAGCCAAGUAGCGUGCAGGAUGACGGCCCUAUGGGUGGUAAACUGCUUUUAUAAGGGAAUAAAGUGGGUCUCGUGAGACUUUUUGCAUGUACCUUAUGAAUAAGGACCGGCUAAUUCCGUG
This 491-nucleotide ribosomal RNA is filed under the name uncultured bacterium. RNAcentral's name for it is "partial 16S ribosomal RNA". It matches the Rfam family "Bacterial small subunit ribosomal RNA", at positions 29 to 507 of the family's 1533-position model. The record is from RNAcentral.